CUACGGGGCGCACCAGGCGAGAAAACUUUGCAAUGUGCGAAAGCACGACAAGGUUAAUCCGAGUGGUUUCUGCUAAAGGAACCUUUUGUCGGUCCUAGAAACACCGAUGAAUAAGGGGUGGGCAAGUUCUGGUGUCAGCCGCCGCGGUAAAACCAGCACCUCAAGUGGUCAGGAUGAUUAUUGGGCCUAAAGCAUCCGUAGCCGGCUCUGUAAGUUUUCGGUUAAAUCUGUACGCUCAACGUACAGGCUGCCGGGAAUACUGCAGAGCUAGGGAGUGGGAGAGGUAGACGGUACUCGGUAGGGAGGGGUAAAAUCCUUUGAUCUAUUGAUGACCACCUGUGGCGAAGGCGGUCUACCAGAACACGUCCGACGGUGGGGGAUGAAAGCUGGGGGAGCAAACCGGAUUAGAUACCCCCGUAGUC
This 422-nucleotide ribosomal RNA is filed under the name uncultured archaeon. RNAcentral's name for it is "partial 16S ribosomal RNA". It matches the Rfam family "Archaeal small subunit ribosomal RNA", at positions 323 to 746 of the family's 1478-position model. The record is from RNAcentral.